GACAGAGGUGCCGAGCGUUAGGCGGAAUCACUGGGCUUAAAGCGUGUGUAGGCGGGUCGUUAAGUGCCUUGUGAAAUCCCACAGCUCACCUGUGGAACUGCUUGGCAUACUGGCGAUCUUGAGCCACUUAGGGGCAACCGGAACAAACGGUGGAGCGGUGAAAUGCGUAGAUAUCGGAAGGAACACCGGUGGCGAAAGCGGCGCGCUGGACCUCUUCUGACGCUGAGGCGCGAAAGCCAGGGGAGCGAACGGG
Molecule: ribosomal RNA, 253 nt
Filed under: uncultured bacterium
Lineage: Bacteria
Description: partial 16S ribosomal RNA
Rfam family: Bacterial small subunit ribosomal RNA
Source: RNAcentral